GACGAGUGGCGGACGGGUGAGUAAUGUCUGGGAAACUGCCUGAUGGAGGGGGAUAACUACUGGAAACGGUGGCUAAUACCGCAUAACGUCGCAAGACCAAAGAGGGGGACCUUCGGGCCUCUUGCCAUCAGAUGUGCCCAGAUGGGAUUAGCUUGUUGGUGAGGUAACGGCUCACCAAGGCGACGAUCCCUAGCUGGUCUGAGAGGAUGACCAGCCACACUGGAACUGAGACACGGUCCAGACUCCUACGGGAGGCAGCAGUGGGGAAUAUUGCACAAUGGGCGCAAGCCUGAUGCAGCCAUGCCGCGUGUAUGAAGAAGGCCUUCGGGUUGUAAAGUACUUUCAGCGGGGAGGAAGGUGUUGUGGUUAAUAACCGCAGCAAUUGACGUUACCCGCAGAAGAAGCACCGGCUAACUCCGUGCCAGCAGCCGCGGUAAUACGGAGGGUGCAAGCGUUAAUCGGAAUUACUGGGCGUAAAGCGCACGCAGGCGGUCUGUCAAGUCGGA
This 506-nucleotide ribosomal RNA is filed under the name Salmonella enterica subsp. enterica serovar Panama. Its description in RNAcentral is "bacterial SSU rRNA". It matches the Rfam family "Bacterial small subunit ribosomal RNA", at positions 90 to 592 of the family's 1533-position model. The record is from RNAcentral. Lineage: Bacteria; Pseudomonadati; Pseudomonadota; Gammaproteobacteria; Enterobacterales; Enterobacteriaceae.